Molecule: long non-coding RNA, 1859 nt
Organism: Cyprinodon tularosa
Lineage: Eukaryota; Metazoa; Chordata; Actinopteri; Cyprinodontiformes; Cyprinodontidae
Exons: 2
Source: RefSeq, a predicted model, not a curated record
GCAGCCUGAGAGGCAGCAACCCUGACAACUAAACAUGUAAAAUGAGGCAAUGAUCAUGCUGAAGGAAAACGGCAACUACCUAAAUGCACAUUUUCUGUUGCUUCUCUUCUUUCAACCAGUGACAAGUUAUAUUAAAUGGUUUUUAAUAUGACCAAAACAAGGAGGCAGUUUGUCUGAACUUUUAGUUUUAAAGUAAUUAUUUUACAUACAAUUAGGAAAAGACAUAGGGGACAACUAAAUCCUCUUUAGGUAAGAAAAAAAAGGUAAACAAAUCACUCAAACCAAUAGAAAUAUAGAAAUGUGCAUCUGUCUACCAAAUUCAGCUACUUCUAAAAAUUCUUUAUUAGUCUUGAAUUCAAUGAUGGGCAUCCAAAUCCUGCAACCAGCUGCUGUUAAACAAACAGAAAGGUGCAUUUUAUGUUUUUGUUGUUUUACCUCUGAUCAUUGUCUCAUCAUGCCGGGCAGGUAGCACAUCUGAGCAGAAACACACCAGCAGCCUAAAUAAAGUCAGUUUCUUUGAACAAAACUCAAGUAAUUAGCUUUCUUAUUCAAAUAGGCAAAGAUCAAAUUAUAUAUUUCUAAAUAGAUUGCUCCUUUGGCAUAUUUGCAAAAUGUUUGGGAAAACCACCAAAUCUUGCGAUUUGGCGACUUUGCUGGGUGUUAAUUAAAAUUCUUGCUGUCCAGUCAGCAGUGGUGAUUUCUGUUCAGAUCUGGUGAAUGUUCUUGAAAUCCCUUAGCUCUGCAGGUCUCCAACAGCAGCACCACUGCAGGAGUUAGCAGUGAUGCAGUGAAAACAUCAAGGUAAUGUUGGAGCACUAAAGGUGAGCAAGGAUUUCAUCAACCACCUGCUGGGUAACAUGUUAGGGUUGCUGUCUCUCAUGGGACAAGAAUGUGUUCCUUUUUUAAUUUUUUUAACUAUAUUUUCUAAUGAUUUAGAGACUUUAAAGACUUCAAACUUUAUGUGAAGUUCACCUCGAAGAUUUAUUUUUUUUUUUUAGCUGUGUAUAUGGAGGAGGAUACGGAGGAGGUGCAAGAGGAGGCUCAGGAGAGUUGGAGGACAGAAUGAACAAGGCUGUGUUGAAUCGGUUUGACUGCAGAAAUGAGACGAGUUGUUUCCAGCGGCUCUCCGCCGUCCUGCCAGCCUGCCAGUUGCUUAGUAACUAGUGUUUUUGGCUGAAGUCUAACGUCAAAAUAUCUAAAUUAAAGAGGACCUAAAGAAACGAAUGGCCAACACAAACACAUUUCUCUUAAAGCUGAUAUCCAGUAUUCUGUUACAGAAUUGGAUUUUACUGAAACAUGCUGCCUUGCUGGCUUCAACAGCAGGGGCCCCCUCAGGCGACGUGCACACAUUCUGCUGUAAUGGGCCUCCUCAUGGUUGGAGGUCCCCUGUCAAAUCUCAGAACUGAAAGCCCCCCGGAGAAGAGCAAAGGUUUGAAGUUGGAAUAAAGAUCAGAAGGAAAAUAGAAUGCAUCUCUCCUCUGGGCUUUUUACUGCAAGGAGGUGUGACUGCUGGAAGGUGGGGAAGUUAUUUCCUGAGUGGAUGAAGACAUCACAGGGCAAAGCUGAAAACAAUUAACAGAUUUUUGUUGUAUUUUUUAUAGAGCUCAGAUCAACUUUAAUUAUAGACCACUGCAGAUGGGACACAUGCUCUAAAGUGGGGUCCUAAACCUGACUGAAACCCACUUUUAGUUUUUAUUCUCUGCAGAUCAUCAGAAAGCCUGGAGCAAUGUUCAUCCCUCCUCCUCCACCUCUUCAGCAGGACCCGAACUUCUCUAUGCUUGGUAAAUCUUUAGAUUUCUGAAGAUCUCUUGAGGGGUUCCUCACUGCAAAGAAGGUGACCGAACUUUUGCCUUAAGGGG